CCUACGGGGGGCAGCAGUAAGGAAUAUUGGUCAAUGGAGGCAACUCUGAACCAGCCAUGCCGCGUGCAGGAUGAAGGUCCUAUGGAUUGUAAACUGCUUUUGUACGGGAGAAAACCCUGGUACGUGUACCAGGUUGAUAGUACUGUAAGAAUAAGGAUCGGCUAACUUCGUGCCAGCAGCCGCGGUAAGACGAAGGAUCCAAGCGUUAUCCGGAUUCAUUGGGUUUAAAGGGUGCGUAGGCGGGUUUGUAAGUCAGUGGUGAAAUCCUAUCGCUU
RNAcentral lists this ribosomal RNA (275 nucleotides) under uncultured bacterium. Its description in RNAcentral is "partial 16S ribosomal RNA". It matches the Rfam family "Bacterial small subunit ribosomal RNA", at positions 338 to 610 of the family's 1533-position model. The record is from RNAcentral.